UGCAAGUCGAACGCUUCUUUUUCCACCGGAGCUUGCUCCACCGGAAAAAGAGGAGUGGCGAACGGGUGAGUAACACGUGGGUAACCUGCCCAUCAGAAGGGGAUAACACUUGGAAACAGGUGCUAAUACCGUAUAACAAUCGAAACCGCAUGGUUUUGAUUUGAAAGGCGCUUUCGGGUGUCGCUGAUGGAUGGACCCGCGGUGCAUUAGCUAGUUGGUGAGGUAACGGCUCACCAAGGCGACGAUGCAUAGCCGACCUGAGAGGGUGAUCGGCCACAUUGGGACUGAGACACGGCCCAAACUCCUACGGGAGGCAGCAGUAGGGAAUCUUCGGCAAUGGACGAAAGUCUGACCGAGCAACGCCGCGUGAGUGAAGAAGGUUUUCGGAUCGUAAAACUCUGUUGUUAGAGAAGAACAAGGAUGAGAGUAACUGUUCAUCCCUUGACGGUAUCUAACCAGAAAGCCACGGCUAACUACGUGCCAGCAGCCGCGGUAAUACGUAGGUGGCAAGCGUUGUCCGGAUUUAUUGGGCGUAAAGCGAGCGCAGGCGGUUUCUUAAGUCUGAUGUGAAAGCCCCCGGCUCAACCGGGGAGGGUCAUUGGAAACUGGGAGACUUGAGUGCAGAAGAGGAGAGUGGAAUUCCAUGUGUAGCGGUGAAAUGCGUAGAUAUAUGGAGGAACACCAGUGGCGAA
RNAcentral lists this ribosomal RNA (692 nucleotides) under uncultured bacterium. RNAcentral's name for it is "bacterial SSU rRNA". It matches the Rfam family "Bacterial small subunit ribosomal RNA", at positions 56 to 719 of the family's 1533-position model. The record is from RNAcentral.